GAUGAACGCUGGCGGCGUGCCUAAUACAUGCAAGUCGAGCGAACAGACGAGGAGCUUGCUCCUCUGACGUUAGCGGCGGACGGGUGAGUAACACGUGGAUAACCUACCUAUAAGACUGGGAUAACUUCGGGAAACCGGAGCUAAUACCGGAUAAUAUAUUGAACCGCAUGGUUCAAUAGUGAAAGACGGUUUUGCUGUCACUUAUAGAUGGAUCCGCGCCGCAUUAGCUAGUUGGUAAGGUAACGGCUUACCAAGGCAACGAUGCGUAGCCGACCUGAGAGGGGUGUCGGCCCACUGGGACUGGGACCACGGCCCGAACCCCACGGGGGGGCAGAGGGAGGAAUUUUUCCGAAUGGGGGGAAGGCCUAACGAGCCACAGCGGGGGGGGGAAGAAAGUUUUUGGGUUCGAAAAACCUUUUUUUUGGGAAAAAAAAAAUUUGUAAAAAACCUUGCCGUUUUGAAGGGAACCAAAGAAGAAGCCCACGGUAAAUUCGUG
Molecule: ribosomal RNA, 496 nt
Filed under: uncultured bacterium
Lineage: Bacteria
Description: partial 16S ribosomal RNA
Rfam family: Bacterial small subunit ribosomal RNA
Source: RNAcentral